Molecule: transfer RNA, 70 nt
Filed under: Koreocobitis rotundicaudata (white nose loach)
Lineage: Eukaryota; Metazoa; Chordata; Actinopteri; Cypriniformes; Cobitidae
Description: tRNA-Val
Source: RNAcentral
AUAGUUAAGCAUCUCCCUUACACCGAGAAGACAUCCAUGCAAGUUGGAUCACCCUGAGCUAAACAGCUAG